AUAAAAGAGACCCUAGAGAGCUUCCUUACCCUUUCCGCCAUGUUGAGGACACAGCAAGAAGAUGGUGCUCUACGAAUCAGGAGAUGGGUGCUUGUUAUACACCAAUUCGCAGUACAAAUGAACUAAGACAGUCUGGAGACAAUAGCUUAAAUAUGAACACAAGGGACACUAAGCCAGUGAGGCCUUUUCCUGCCUAUAAAGCCAGCCUCUUCUCAACUCAACAGAA
Molecule: long non-coding RNA, 226 nt
Filed under: Homo sapiens (human)
Lineage: Eukaryota; Metazoa; Chordata; Mammalia; Primates; Hominidae
Description: HSALNT0180484
Source: RNAcentral